Molecule: ribosomal RNA, 1489 nt
Filed under: Lactiplantibacillus plantarum
Lineage: Bacteria; Bacillati; Bacillota; Bacilli; Lactobacillales; Lactobacillaceae
Description: bacterial SSU rRNA
Rfam family: Bacterial small subunit ribosomal RNA
Source: RNAcentral
GACGAACGCUGGCGGCGUGCCUAAUACAUGCAAGCCGAACGAACUCUGGUAUUGAUUGGUGCUUGCAUCAUGAUUUACAUUUGAGUGAGUGGCGAACUGGUGAGUAACACGUGGGAAACCUGCCCAGAAGCGGGGGAUAACACCUGGAAACAGAUGCUAAUACCGCAUAACAACUUGGACCGCAUGGUCCGAGCUUGAAAGAUGGCUUCGGCUAUCACUUUUGGAUGGUCCCGCGGCGUAUUAGCUAGAUGGUGGGGUAACGGCUCACCAUGGCAAUGAUACGUAGCCGACCUGAGAGGGUAAUCGGCCACAUUGGGACUGAGACACGGCCCAAACUCCUACGGGAGGCAGCAGUAGGGAAUCUUCCACAAUGGACGAAAGUCUGAUGGAGCAACGCCGCGUGAGUGAAGAAGGGUUUCGGCUCGUAAAACUCUGUUGUUAAAGAAGAACAUAUCUGAGAGUAACUGUUCAGGUAUUGACGGUAUUUAACCAGAAAGCCACGGCUAACUACGUGCCAGCAGCCGCGGUAAUACGUAGGUGGCAAGCGUUGUCCGGAUUUAUUGGGCGUAAAGCGAGCGCAGGCGGUUUUUUAAGUCUGAUGUGAAAGCCUUCGGCUCAACCGAAGAAGUGCAUCGGAAACUGGGAAACUUGAGUGCAGAAGAGGACAGUGGAACUCCAUGUGUAGCGGUGAAAUGCGUAGAUAUAUGGAAGAACACCAGUGGCGAAGGCGGCUGUCUGGUCUGUAACUGACGCUGAGGCUCGAAGGAAUGGGUAGCAAACAGGAUUAGAUACCCUGGUAGUCCAUACCGUAAACGAUGAAUGCUAAGUGUUGGAGGGUUUCCGCCCUUCAGUGCUGCAGCUAACGCAUUAAGCAUUCCGCCUGGGGAGUACGGCCGCAAGGCUGAAACUCAAAGGAAUUGACGGGGGCCCGCACAAGCGGUGGAGCAUGUGGUUUAAUUCGAAGCUACGCGAAGAACCUUACCAGGUCUUGACAUACUAUGCAAAUCUAAGAGAUUAGACGUUCCCUUCGGGGACAUGGAUACAGGUGGUGCAUGGUUGUCGUCAGCUCGUGUCGUGAGAUGUUGGGUUAAGUCCCGCAACGAGCGCAACCCUUAUUAUCAGUUGCCAGCAUUAAGUUGGGCACUCUGGUGAGACUGCCGGUGACAAACCGGAGGAAGGUGGGGAUGACGUCAAAUCAUCAUGCCCCUUAUGACCUGGGCUACACACGUGCUACAAUGGAUGGUACAACGAGUUGCGAACUCGCGAGAGUAAGCUAAUCUCUUAAAGCCAUUCUCAGUUCGGAUUGUAGGCUGCAACUCGCCUACAUGAAGUCGGAAUCGCUAGUAAUCGCGGAUCAGCAUGCCGCGGUGAAUACGUUCCCGGGCCUUGUACACACCGCCCGUCACACCAUGAGAGUUUGUAACACCCAAAGUCGGUGGGGUAACCUUUUAGGAACCAGCCGCCUAAGGUGGGACAGAUGAUUAGGGUG